This 235-nucleotide long non-coding RNA is filed under the name Elaeis guineensis (African oil palm). RNAcentral's name for it is "long non-coding RNA (EGUI_LNC000381)". Lineage: Eukaryota; Viridiplantae; Streptophyta; Magnoliopsida; Arecales; Arecaceae. The record is from RNAcentral.
AUAUGUAGACCCAAAUAUAGAUGGGGGAUAACAAGAAUAUAUCAAGGAAUAACAAGAAUAUGCCAAGGAAUAAUAUCCUUGGACUUUUAAUUGGACAAUUUUCCAAUUAGAUUCAAUCCUUCCAAUACUCCCCUCAAGAUGAGGUGAAGAUAUCUCGAAGCCCCAUCUUGUCAAUCAAUCCAGAAAAAGACGAUGAGCUAAGCCCUUUGGUUAGAAUGUCUGCCAUCUGAUCAGA